RNAcentral lists this ribosomal RNA (495 nucleotides) under uncultured bacterium. RNAcentral's name for it is "partial 16S ribosomal RNA". It matches the Rfam family "Bacterial small subunit ribosomal RNA", at positions 28 to 505 of the family's 1533-position model. The record is from RNAcentral.
GACGAACGCUGGCGGCGUGCCUAAUACAUGCAAGUAGAACGCUGAAGAGAGGAGCUUGCUCUUCUUGGAUGAGUUGCGAACGGGUGAGUAACGCGUAGGUAACCUGCCUUGUAGCGGGGGAUAACUAUUGGAAACGAUAGCUAAUACCGCAUAACAAUGGAUGACACAUGUCAUUUAUUUGAAAGGGGCAAUUGCUCCACUACAAGAUGGACCUGCGUUGUAUUAGCUAGUAGGUGAGGUAAUGGCUCACCUAGGCGACGAUACAUAGCCGACCUGAGAGGGUGAUCGGCCACACUGGGACUGAGACACGGCCCAGACUCCUACGGGAGGCAGCAGUAGGGAAUCUUCGGCAAUGGGGGCAACCCUGACCGAGCAACGCCGCGUGAGUGAAGAAGGUUUUCGGAUCGUAAAGCUCUGUUGUAAGUCAAGAACGGGUGUGAGAGUGGAAAGUUCACACUGUGACGGGAGCUUACCAGAAAGGGACGGCUAACUACG